RNAcentral lists this transfer RNA (70 nucleotides) under Lasius spathepus. RNAcentral describes it as "tRNA-Ile". The record is from RNAcentral. Lineage: Eukaryota; Metazoa; Arthropoda; Insecta; Hymenoptera; Formicidae.
AAUGAUAUGCCUGAAAAAGGGUUAUUUUGAUAGAAUAAAUUAUACAUUUCCUUUAAAAAUGUUUUCAUUA